Molecule: transfer RNA, 72 nt
Organism: Allomyces macrogynus ATCC 38327
Lineage: Eukaryota; Fungi; Blastocladiomycota; Blastocladiomycetes; Blastocladiales; Blastocladiaceae
Rfam family: tRNA
About the family: Transfer RNA (tRNA) molecules are approximately 80 nucleotides in length. Their secondary structure includes four short double-helical elements and three loops (D, anti-codon, and T loops). Further hydrogen bonds mediate the characteristic L-shaped molecular structure. tRNAs have two regions of fundamental functional importance: the anti-codon, which is responsible for specific mRNA codon recognition, and the 3' end, to which the tRNAs corresponding amino acid is attached (by aminoacyl-tRNA synthetases). tRNAs cope with the degeneracy of the genetic code in two manners: having more than one tRNA (with a specific anti-codon) for a particular amino acid; and 'wobble' base-pairing, i.e. permitting non-standard base-pairing at the 3rd anti-codon position.
Source: Rfam
GCGCCGUUAGUGUAGUGGUUAACAUCCCACCCUUCCAAGGUGGUGUCCCGGGUUCGAACCCCGGACGGCGCA